RNAcentral lists this ribosomal RNA (452 nucleotides) under uncultured bacterium. RNAcentral describes it as "bacterial SSU rRNA". It matches the Rfam family "Bacterial small subunit ribosomal RNA", at positions 404 to 875 of the family's 1533-position model. The record is from RNAcentral.
AAUGAUGAAGGUCUUAGGAUUGUAAAAUUCUUUCACCGGGGACGAUAAUGACGGUCCCCGGAGAAGAACCCCCGGCUAACUUCGUCCCAGCAGCCGCGGUAAUACGAAGGGGGCUAGCGUUUUUCGGAAUUACUGGGCGUAAAGGGAGCGUAGGCGGNCAUUUAAGUCAGGGGUGAAAUCCCGGGGCUCAACCUGGGAAUUCCCUUUGAUACUGGGUGUCUUGAGUAUGAGAGAGGUGUGUGGAACUCCGAGUGUAGAGGUGAAAUUCGUAGAUAUUGGGAAGAACCCCAGUGGCGAAGGCGCCUCACUGGCUCAUUACUGACGCUGAGGCUCGAAAGCGUGGGGAGCAAACAGGNUUAGAUCCCCUGGUAGUCCACCCCGUAAACGAUGAUUGCUAGUUGUCGGGAUGCAUGCAUCUCGGUGACGCAGCUAACGCAUUAAGCAUCCGCCUG